RNAcentral lists this long non-coding RNA (1020 nucleotides) under Pan troglodytes (chimpanzee). RNAcentral's name for it is "long non-coding RNA NONPTRT008414". The record is from RNAcentral. Lineage: Eukaryota; Metazoa; Chordata; Mammalia; Primates; Hominidae.
AAAAAAAGCUCACAGUUAAUGACUUUUUUCAUUCGUUGGUGUCCCAGCCGUGUUGUGUUUGUACAGUGCAAUUAAAGUAUUGUAUUCAUGAAUUCCUACCCCCCAACCAGGUUCCGGGGCUUGCCUUCAGAACUGGAACCUUUGUGUAUCCCCAUCCCUACUUGAAGAUGUGAUUAAAAAAUUGAAGUCUUCUACCUAUCUUUGACAUGUCAAGGGGCUUGCUUCUGACAUGUCUGAUGAGCGCAUUCCUGCUGUUGCUCCUGGCUAUUACAAGGUGUCGCUGUGGAAGACUGUUCCUGUACAGCUGUGUGAACCUGCCUCGUCACGGCUUCCUCUGCAGUGCUCUUGAAUAUCCCGGUUCCUGCUUAGGCCACAGCAGUCAGUCCAGGGAGAAGCAUCCUUCUACUCCCUCACUGUCCAGGUUGGCUGAAGAUGCUCUGCACUUGACCUCCUGACACUAACUUCCUUGCCUUUUCCCAUGGCAAGAGCAAGUCAUGGACUCUGAACUACUUCCUCUCCCUUUCUUCUAUUUAUUUUAUUUUAUUUUAUAUUUGUGAUGGAGUCUCGCUCUGUCACCCAGGCUGGAGUGUGGUGGUGUGAUCUUGGCUCACUGCAACCUCCGCCUCCCAGGUUCAUGCAAUUCUCCUGCCUCUGCCUCCCAAGUAGCUGGGAAUACAGGUGCCCACCACCAUGCCCGGCUAAUUUUUGUAUUCUUAGUAGAGGUGGGGUUUCACCAUGUUGGCCAGGCUGGUCUCUUAACUCCUUACCUCAAAUGAUCCACCCAUCUUGGCCUCCCAAAGUGCUGGGAUUAUAGGUGUGAGCCACUGCACCCAGCCCUUCCUCUCCCUUUCUCUUUGGAGUUCCCCUCACAAACAGGUGAGGCAGCUUUUUCAAGGGCAUUCCAAGCACAAAAGACCUUGUUGUACCUAAAUACUAUAAGGGACCUGUCAUUGAGGACGCACCAUCACAGCAAGAGGAAUUAUCUCGUGCCGCAUCUUCGCAUAACUGACAGGAUCCCUG